This 257-nucleotide ribosomal RNA is filed under the name uncultured bacterium. RNAcentral describes it as "partial 16S ribosomal RNA". It matches the Rfam family "Bacterial small subunit ribosomal RNA", at positions 524 to 777 of the family's 1533-position model. The record is from RNAcentral.
AACGUAGGUGGCGAGCGUUAUCCGGAUUUACUGGGCGUAAAGCGUGUGCAGGUGGACGGUUAAGUGGUGUAUGAAAUCGCCGCGCUCAACGUGGCGGGGUUAUGCCAGACUGGCCGACUAGAGGUCGAGAGAGGGAUGUGGAAUUCCGGGGUGUAAUGGUGAAAUGCGUAGAGAUCCGGAGGAACCCCAGAGGCGAAGGCGGCGUCCUGGCUCGGAACCUGACACUCAGACACGACAGCAUGGGGGAGCGAACGGGG